Molecule: long non-coding RNA, 875 nt
Filed under: Fragaria vesca (wild strawberry)
Lineage: Eukaryota; Viridiplantae; Streptophyta; Magnoliopsida; Rosales; Rosaceae
Description: long non-coding RNA (FVES_LNC003552)
Source: RNAcentral
AAACAAUCUGCCUCACAACAAGCCAAUCCAACCCAACCCAACCUAAACUUAGUGAAUAAGAUGGAUGACUUGACCUAAAAUGCACAACUUAGGCAGAGACCUAGCCAGCCCAGGCCAACCUAUCCGAAAAGCAACCUCAAGCUUCACCACUCUGGCCGCCUCCAGUGUUCCUCCACCAUCAUGAGAUCUUAGUGCAGUCCGACCCUAGUUCAUCUGUUGCUUGAAAACUGACUUCAACUCAAUGAAAUGGAGUCCUAGACAACUUUGUGGUCGACAAAAACCCACCUCGUCGCCCUCUGCUACGAGCAUAUGUCCACAACCUAGAAGCGCUUGGGUUGCUCCUCCUUCAAAUCACAUAAAUUGAAUUGAAGGUCUAACCAGAAUAACAAUAUGAGGAAUCAACUUUGGUUUUUACCUUAAGGUCGUUGCCCAAGAGCCUUCACACCACACAAAGUUCUUCGCGUCUUCCUCCUACCACCCCUCAGGCUCAGACACUGAUCUCAAGACCUCAUAGCCACGACUGGAAGACGCCGUUUCGAAAUCACUAGCCCACUAAUUCGCCACCUAACUUGUCGUUGUUUCUCAAGAAACAUGAUCAUGUGUCAUGUCGAGAAGAAGGUCGCCGCCACCACAAGAAACCAUAACAAGGGUUCGAGCUUCAAGGUUGCUCUAAGAGAAACAAACUCAUACACUUCACAUUCUGAAAAAUCUAAAAAUAUUUUUCAUUAAAAGACAGCUAAAUGAAACUUAAGCGAAAGUGAUACCGGGAUUUUUUGCGGUGAAAAGCUGAUAGAACAAACUGAUAGGACACGCUCGUCACUCCAAAAAAUUCACCAAGGAGAUAAAAACAAAACUCGCCACUUUUAGGAAUUCAC